GAUGAACGCUGACAGAAUGCUUAACACAUCAGCAAUUGAUUGGUGGCGGACGGGUGAGUAACGCGUAAAGAACUUGCCUCACAGGUAGGGACAACAUUUGGAAACGAAUGCUAAUACCUAAUACUGUGAGAGAGCUUUGCGUCCCAUUAUCUAGUUGGAGAGGUAACGGCUCACCAAGGCGAUGAUGGGUAGCCGGCCUGAGAGGGUGAUCGGCAACAAUGGGCCGUGGACACUGCCCUUACUCCUACGGGAGGCAGCAGUGGGGAAUAUUGGACAAUGGACCAACGUAUGAUCCAGCAAUUCUGUGUGCGCGAUGAAGUUUUCGGAAUGUAAAGUGCUUUCAGUUGGGAAGCGAUACCAACAGAAGAAGUGACGACUAAAUUCGUGCCAGCAGCCGCGGUAAUUC
RNAcentral lists this ribosomal RNA (406 nucleotides) under uncultured bacterium. RNAcentral's name for it is "partial 16S ribosomal RNA". It matches the Rfam family "Bacterial small subunit ribosomal RNA", at positions 28 to 526 of the family's 1533-position model. The record is from RNAcentral.